This 613-nucleotide ribosomal RNA is filed under the name uncultured bacterium. RNAcentral describes it as "bacterial SSU rRNA". It matches the Rfam family "Bacterial small subunit ribosomal RNA", at positions 338 to 946 of the family's 1533-position model. The record is from RNAcentral.
CCUACGGGAGGCAGCAGUAAGGAAUAUUGGACAAUGCUCGCAAGAGUGAUCCAGCCAUGCCGCGUGCAGGAAGAAUGCCCUAUGGGUAGUAAACUGCUUUUGAACUAGAGAAAACCCCAGUACGUGUACUGGGCUGAUAGUAUAGUUAGAAUAAGCAUCGGCUAACUUCGUGCCAGCAGCCGCGGUAAGACGAAGGAUGCAAGCGUUAUCCGGGAUUCAUUGGGUUUAAAGGGAGCGUAGGUGGACUGAUAAGUCAGUGGUGAAAUCUCCGAGCUUAACUCGGAAAUUGCCAUUGAUACUGUUGGUCUUGAGUACAGUUGCUGUGGGCGGAAUAUGACAUGUAGUGGUGAAAUACAUAGAGAUGUCAUAGAACACCGAUUGCGAAGGCAGCUCACAAAGCUGUAACUGACACUGAGGCUCGAAAGUGCGGGGGAUCAAACAGGAUUAGAUACCCUGGUAGUCCGCACCGUAAACGAUGAUUACUCGCUGCUAGGGGGCAACCUUUAGUGGCUUAGCGAAAGCGAUAAGUAAUCCACCUGGGAGUACGCCGGCAACGGUGAAACGUUAAAUAGAAUUGACGGNGNGAGAGNGCGAGGCGACGACGAGGGAGAGG